Molecule: signal recognition particle RNA, 294 nt
Filed under: Microcebus murinus (gray mouse lemur)
Lineage: Eukaryota; Metazoa; Chordata; Mammalia; Primates; Cheirogaleidae
Description: Metazoan signal recognition particle RNA (ENSMICG00000029183.2)
Rfam family: Metazoan signal recognition particle RNA
About the family: The signal recognition particle (SRP) is a universally conserved ribonucleoprotein.
Source: RNAcentral
GCCAGGCACAGUGUCAUGUACCUGUAGUCCUAGCUAUUCGGGAGGCUGAGGUGGGAGGAUUGCUUGAGCCCAGUAGUUCUGGGCUAUAGUGUCCUAUGCUGUUCGGGUGUCCACACUAAAUUCAGGAUCGGUAUGGUGACCUUCCUGGAGUGGGGGACCACCAGGUUGUCCAAAGGUGGGUGAACCAGCCGAGAUCAGAAACACAGUUAAAACUCCCAUCCUGAUCAGUAGUAGGAGCACACCUGUGAAUAACCACUGUACUUCAGCCUGGCCAAUUACCAAGACACUCUCUCU